CUUCUCCUUCUUCUUCCUCUUCUCCUUCUUUUUCUUCUUCUUCUUCUUCUUCUUCUUCCGGCUGGGUGCUUGUCCUUGCUUUGAUUUCCGUGCCUCAAGUGGGGAUCAGACCAUGAACCGGUUUAGAUUAUGAACCGGUUCCACCUAAUCCUUGUAUUGGGUUUGAUAUGAAUUUGAGUGAAUAGGUUUGGGUUAUGGUUUGGAUCUGAGUCAGAAAUUGGGGUUAGCCUGAUUUGAGUGUAAUCUGGUUCGUCAAGAUUUAAUCUAAUCUGGUCUGGUCAGACCUGGUUUGGGUUGGGCUAGGGACCUGUUUUUGGGCUGAGUUGGGUCUGAUUGGAUUUGUGGGCUGGUUUGGUUUGGGCCCGAGAUCUGAUUUGGACCUGUAAUCUGGUUUGGUUCAUUUGGGCCUAAUCUGUGUUGGGCCACAAUUGGUUUGGGUCUAAAGAAUUCUGAUUUUUGGGAUCUAGUUUACUUAUUCUUGGAUCUAUGAACUUAGGAGUUUAGGGGAUUGGAAUUAGUUUAAAUUAUGUUUCUUAAUUAAUUAAAUAAUUAAUAUUUAUGUUUAAUCAGGGGUUCGUGAUAUCUGUGGCAGGGAUUUUUAAGCGAGCCCAGGAGAUGAUUGAUGGGGGAUUCGGGAGGAGAGGACUUAUGACACUGGACAUAGAUAGAUUUAGAUUCAUUUUGUCAUAAGUAAUUGAUCUUGUAAAUAAAUGUUAUCAACUUUAUUUGAGACAUUUGAAAUUGAAUUAUUGAUUUGAUUAUCAUAAAUGAUAGAUUUUUAGUAUUGA
This is a non-coding RNA of Phoenix dactylifera (date palm), 788 nucleotides long. NCBI's taxonomy places the organism in Eukaryota, Viridiplantae, Streptophyta, Magnoliopsida, Arecales, Arecaceae. The record is from RefSeq and is a predicted model, not a curated record.